Molecule: ribosomal RNA, 746 nt
Filed under: Drosophila melanogaster (fruit fly)
Lineage: Eukaryota; Metazoa; Arthropoda; Insecta; Diptera; Drosophilidae
Description: SSU rRNA
Rfam family: Eukaryotic small subunit ribosomal RNA
Source: RNAcentral
UCAUUAUAUCAGUUAUGGUUCCUUAGAUCGUUAACAGUUACUUGGAUAACUGUGGUAAUUCUAGAGCUAAUACAUGCAAUUAAAACAUGAACCUUAUGGGACAUGUGCUUUUAUUAGGCUAAAACCAAGCGAUCGCAAGAUCGUUAUAUUGGUUGAACUCUAGAUAACAUGCAGAUCGUAUGGUCUUGUACCGACGACAGAUCUUUCAAAUGUCUGCCCUAUCAACUUUUGAUGGUAGUAUCUAGGACUACCAUGGUUGCAACGGGUAACGGGGAAUCAGGGUUCGAUUCCGGAGAGGGAGCCUGAGAAACGGCUACCACAUCUAAGGAAGGCAGCAGGCGCGUAAAUUACCCACUCCCAGCUCGGGGAGGUAGUGACGAAAAAUAACAAUACAGGACUCAUAUCCGAGGCCCUGUAAUUGGAAUGAGUACACUUUAAAUCCUUUAACAAGGACCAAUUGGAGGGCAAGUCUGGUGCCAGCAGCCGCGGUAAUUCCAGCUCCAAUAGCGUAUAUUAAAGUUGUUGCGGUUAAAACGUUCGUAGUUGAACUUGUGCUUCAUACGGGUAGUACAACUUACAAUUGUGGUUAGUACUAUACCUUUAUGUAUGUAAGCGUAUUACCGGUGGAGUUCUUAUAUGUGAUUAAAUACUUGUAUUUUUUCAUAUGUUCCUCCUAUUUAAAAACCUGCAUUAGUGCUCUUAAACGAGUGUUAUUGUGGGCCGGUACUAUUACUUUGAACAAAUUA